RNAcentral lists this long non-coding RNA (288 nucleotides) under Mytilus galloprovincialis (Mediterranean mussel). The record is from RNAcentral. Lineage: Eukaryota; Metazoa; Mollusca; Bivalvia; Mytilida; Mytilidae.
GUCAGCGAAAAAACUAUGUGAAUUAAGUUUUUAUCCUACAUUGAACUUUUGAUGUCGCCCCUAAAGGAUAAAGAGAUAAUAUUGUGUUAUUAUUAAUCUUCGGUUACACCAUUGGAUAAGGAUUUAUGCAUAUCGGGUGCAACAAUUAACAAUGGAAGGUACAAUAAAAAAGAAAUCCAGUCGUAAACAACUUUACAGUAGAAUGAUUUGAAGUUGACCUAUAUAUCUUAGGUGUCUAUAUGCUGAUAUACUGCAGUAUACUUGUACAUGUUAAUUUACAUAUUAAUU